GAACCUGGGGCGUGCUUACCAUGCAGUCGAACGAUGAAGCCCAGCUUGCUGGGUGGAAGAGUGGCGAACGGGUGAGUAACACGUGAGUAACCUGCCCUUCACUCUGGGAUAAGCGCUGGAAACGGUGUCUAAUACUGGAUACGACCCUUACAGGCAUCUGUUGGGGGUGGAAAGAUUUAUCGGUGAAGGAUGGGCUCGCGGCCUAUCAGGUAGUUGGUGAGGUAACGGCUCACCAAGCCGACGACGGGUAGCCGGCCUGAGAGGGUGACCGGCCACACUGGGACUGAGACACGGCCCAGACUCCUACGGGAGGCAGCAGUGGGGAAUAUUGCACAAUGGGCGAAAGCCUGAUGCAGCAACGCCGCGUGAGGGAUGACGGCCUUCGGGUUGUAAACCUCUUUUAGUAGGGAAGAAGCGAAAGUGACGGUACCUGCAGAAAAAGCACCGGCUAACUACGUGCCAGCAGCCGCGGUAAUACGUAGGGUGCAAGCGUUGUCCGGAAUUAUUGGGCGUAAAGAGCUCGUAGGCGGCUUGUCGCGUCUGCUGUGAAAACCCGGAGCUCAACUCCGGGCCUGCAGUGGGUACGGGCAGGCUAGAGUGCGGUAGGGGAGAUUGGAAUUCCUGGUGUAGCGGUGGAAUGCGCAGAUAUCAGGAGGAACACCGAUGGCGAAGGCAGAUCUCUGGGCCGCUACUGACGCUGAGGAGCGAAAGCAUGGGGAGCGAACAGGAUUAGAUACCCUGGUAGUCCAUGCCGUAAACGUUGGGAACUAGAUGUAGGGCCUGUUCCACGGGUUCUGUGUCGUAGCUAACGCAUUAAGUUCCCCGCCUGGGGAGUACGGCCGCAAGGCUAAAACUCAAAGGAAUUGACGGGGGCCCGCACAAGCGGCGGAGCAUGCGGAUUAAUUCGAUGCAACGCGAAGAACCUUACCAAGGCUUGACAUAUAGAAGA
This 949-nucleotide ribosomal RNA is filed under the name Leucobacter sp. Its description in RNAcentral is "bacterial SSU rRNA". It matches the Rfam family "Bacterial small subunit ribosomal RNA", at positions 31 to 995 of the family's 1533-position model. The record is from RNAcentral. Lineage: Bacteria; Bacillati; Actinomycetota; Actinomycetes; Micrococcales; Microbacteriaceae.